Molecule: RNA transcript, 3822 nt
Organism: Triplophysa rosa
Lineage: Eukaryota; Metazoa; Chordata; Actinopteri; Cypriniformes; Nemacheilidae
Gene name: T-lymphocyte activation antigen CD80-like
Exons: 5
Source: RefSeq, a predicted model, not a curated record
CCUCAAACCACAUUUGGUCAUCUGAUCUGAUGACUUAUUUGGGGCAAGUGUUGUCACUCAGGAGCCAGUUGUAACCAGUUCCGCUAACAAAUGUUAGACUUUAGAAUGUUGUUCUCAUUGUCCCUUGGUCUUGAGAAGCUGCUCGUUCAAAGAGUUUAUAUUUAACAGAUAUUUGGGCACGUCAUCUGCAAACAAAGACAUCACGUUAAGAAACAGAACAGAAAGACCGACAAGAAAGAAAACAGUAAAAUGAAAACAUCAAAGUGUUUGGCUUUAACCUGCUGUGUGUUGAUACUUCCGUAUUUGAUCUUAGCUCAACACAGAGUGCUGAAUGUCACCCGGGUUUUUAAUGUUCAGCGGGGAACGUCUGUCAAUAUCAGCUGUAACUACAACAUAUCAGUUGACACUGACGUCAUGCAUGCAUCUCUAAAUAUGAAUCAAAAAUUUUGUUUUUACUAUAUUUAUAAUAAAUCGCAGGUUAACCAUUCAUGCAAAGAUAUUCGAUUAUUCUGGUUUGUAGAAACUAAAAAAAUUAAAAUUCAGCUGUCAAAUCUUCAAAUAAACGAUUCAGGCACUUACUCCUGCACUGUGGAAAGACUAGUGCCUCCUCCUUUUGUGAAUCUAGGAAUAGACCAAACAACUGUUCAGGUUGUUGCAGGUGUGGCUCAAACAUGGAGAAUUUCAGAACAUCUCUCAGACACAAAACACUAGAACCAACCCAGAUGGAUCAAGCAGCCUCCAUUCGUAUUUAAAUGUUUCUUCUGCCAUGUCUGAUUAUGUCAACUAUUCCUGUUGGGUAAACCACUCAUCCCUGAACAAGCCAGUUGUGCUCCACCUGUCUCCUACUGACUGCUAUGAGAGAAAAAACAGGUAAUCAGUUACAGAAUGUACCAAUGUAACGGCCAGAGAAAUACUGACAACUGUGUUUACUGUAAUUUAGUUCAAGACGUUCACAUUUAAGUGAUAAUAUGAAGAUUGUUCUGGUGAUUUCUGCAUUGCUGAUUCUCAUCAUCUUGAUCUUCGCAGUAGUCCUUAAGCGCUUCGAAAGAACCAAUCACCGAUCUCCUAUAUCACCCGAGUCUGUCCGGUUAGAGUUGGUUUAUUCGAUGCUGGGGGAUCAUCGUCCUAUCCCAUGCUCUAACAGGCCUAACCAGGGUCUAGUCAACACCACCAGCACAUUAAACAAUGACUGAAGACACUUCAUAUAACCACUGACAGAGAGAGAAAUCUAAUCUGUUAUUCAGUUACAAAGGACCUUUCGGUACCUAUAGUGACUUGUUGUCAUGUGACCUAGUUAUAAAAAGGUUUUGACAUAAGGUUUUCUCUUUCUAAUAAGGAGAAAGGCCUCCUCAGUGAGACAAUCUAGUUUUCCUAUACCUGCAGUUGAUGGGAGUUGAGUUGAUAAGAGUAAACCUAUAUGAACUCUGAAGUACACACAUUCGCUAUGGAGGACCGAGAGUGCCGAUUAGCAAUAAAAUGAAGAAUCAAUUGAUCAAUUAAAUAAUUAAAACAUAAAAAUGUUAACAAAUAAACAACUUUUCAAAUUGAGAAAUUAAUAGACUUAUUUAAAAUGGUUUAUUUAAUUUGUGUUUUAAAUCUAAAAAAAAAAUCUAAAAAAAAAAAAAAAAUCUAAAAAAUGUAGUUUAAUUGAACUAUAAAACGUUAAAUUAAAAAAAUAAUUUUAAAUGUAUAAAUAAAUAUACACAUUUAAAACUGUUUAUUUAAUUCAUGCUUUAAAACGUAAAAAAAUAAAAAGUUUUAUUGUGCACAUUUUAAAUGCACAUUUUAAAUCGCUUUUUAAAAAAGCGAUUGAAGACUUCAUUGCAAUAUUUAAGAAAAUCUACAAUUUCAUCUGCCACACACUAAACUUCUAAAGCAAAGCACCAGAACAACCCACUCCUUUAUUUUUCUGUGUUUUUAAGGGAGUUCGAAAAUGUAGCUAGUGCAUUUACUGACCUACUGAGCUGCAGUGUGAUCACGAAUUAAAUAAUUUGCAUAGUACAAAAUAACAAUAUAAUAGAUAGCUUUUAGCUCAUUUUAAUAUUUAUUUUAAUAUUUCUCCUGACAUGACAUUUGCCUUUUAUACUAUGAAUAUAAUUCUUAUAUCCAUGAUCUCAUGUUUAUUGUCAACAGUGUUUGUUAAUUGCAUAACUUAAUAAACACAGAAGGUUUUUAUGUUGAAAAAUGAACAUCAUAAGUCAUGUUUCACUGACUGUGAAAGGUUGUGAUAUCCUCUCCCCUGCUGACAUGAUGGGUGCUAUAGGGUGCUAACCACAACGUUAGACGUCAUGGUCACUGGUAAGUAACAUCCUGAUAUAUCCUGCUAAAUCAAAGGCUGAAGGAUUGUCGAGAUUUGGCAUAUACAGCAAUGGUUUUGGAGGCUCCCCAACCAGUUUUUAAAAAAGUUAAUACAGCUUUGUUUAAUUUUAUUUGGAAAAAUGGCCCGCAUUAUCUAAACAGAAACGUAUUGUGUAAUUUGUUUAAUCUGUCUUAAAUGCUAUUGACUUUGAAGUUUCUAACAUUAUUUUUAAAAUUAAAUGGAUUCAAAAUUGUAUUAAAUUUAAUGAUAAAAUGUGGUACUAUAUCCCAAAUUUAAUUUUUAAUAAAAUUGGCGGCUUCACUUUUCUCCUUAAUUGUAACUUUAACAUUAAUAAACUUCCUGUUAAGUUAUCUAAUUUCCAUAAGCAAGCUUUAUUAUCUUGGUUAUUGGUAUAUAAACAUAAUUUCUCUCCCCACAAAUGCUUAAUUUGGAACAAUACAGAUAUUACAUAUAAGAACAAAACAAUUUCUAUGGACUAUUGGGUGAAAAAUAAUAUUUUGUUGGUGACACAGUUAUUUCAUAAUAACGGUCAUUUAUUGUCAUAUGAAGAAUUCUUAAAUAAGUUUCAACUUCCUAUAUCGACUAAAGAGUAUGCAAUUUUCUUUGAUGCUAUACCCUCUGGAUUUAUUCAGUUAAUCCGUCCUGUUGUUAUUGAUUUUAAUAUAACUCUUGAUUUUACUUUAAAACUACAAGGCGUUGGUAUUACUGACAAGAAGUGUGACAACAUUUUUCUGAGACGAAUAAGUCGGUCACAGAGGAUACCCUUGGCUAAAAGCAUUUGGAGCUCAGUCUUUCAUGACAUUGAAUGGGAGAAAGCUUUUAUGAUUAGGAAGUAUUGUGUCACCAAUAAGAUACAUGAAGUUUCAUUUAAAAUUAUUCACUGUAUUUACCCAGUAAGCCAGACUGUUAAAAGAUUUUAUAAAUACAUUAAUAUAACCUGUGCUUUUUGUAAUAUGGAUGAUGAAACUAUCUUUCAUCUUUUUUUUGACUGCUUUUACCAAGUUAUUUUGGUUUGAUUUUAAGGUAUUUUUUAGGGAGAUUUCUGGCAUUGACAUUGUUUUGGAUGCUAAAAAUAUUUUGUUUUUGUAUGACAAACCUUUAGAUAAAAAAAAUCCUUUUUGCUUAAUCUAUUUAUUAUUUUGGGCAAGUUUCAUAUUCACAAAUGUCGAUGGUCAAAAAAGACACCAAACUUUACACAUUUUAAAUUUGAGGUCAAUAUUUUGAAACAUUGAAGGGUGUAAGGAACACUAAAGCUAAGAGAACGGUGGACUAUUGUAAAGCCUUGAAUUUCAAUUUUCCAUAGACCUUUUAUUAUUAUUUAUUUAUGUUGUAUGUAUACAAUGUUAUUUGUUAGUCUGAAUACCCCUUUGUAUAUAGUUUUCAUUAUCUUUUUCUCUUUUAUGCUAUGUUGUUGUUGUUAUUAUUGUUAUUUUUUGUAUAAUUGUUUAUUUGUCUCAUGUAUCUGUUGUUGUUAAUUAAGCAUCAAUAAUAAAAAAGAUAUA